RNAcentral lists this ribosomal RNA (256 nucleotides) under uncultured bacterium. Its description in RNAcentral is "partial 16S ribosomal RNA". It matches the Rfam family "Bacterial small subunit ribosomal RNA", at positions 524 to 776 of the family's 1533-position model. The record is from RNAcentral.
UACGUAGGGUGCGAGCGUUGUCCGGAAUUAUUGGGCGUAAAGAGCUUGUAGGCGGUUUGUCGCGUCUGCUGUGAAAAUCCGGGGCUCAACCCCGGACUUGCAGUGGGUACGGGCAGGCUAGAGUGUGGUAGGGGGAGACGUGGAAUUCCUGGUGUAGCGGUGAAAUGCGCAGAUAUCAGGAGGAACACCAAUGGCGAAGGCAGCACUCUGGGGACGUGACUGACGCUGAGACGCGAAAGCGUGGGGAGCAAACAGG